RNAcentral lists this ribosomal RNA (546 nucleotides) under uncultured Glomeromycotina. RNAcentral describes it as "SSU rRNA". It matches the Rfam family "Eukaryotic small subunit ribosomal RNA", at positions 548 to 1097 of the family's 1831-position model. Lineage: Eukaryota; Fungi; Glomeromycota. The record is from RNAcentral.
UUGGAGGGCAAGUCUGGUGCCAGCAGCCGCGGUAAUUCCAGCUCCAAUAGCGUAUAUUAAAGUUGUUGCAGUUAAAAAGCUCGUAGUUGAAUUUCGGGGUUAGUAGGUUGGUCGUGCCUCAGGUAUGUACUGAUCUCACUGAUUCCUCCUUCCUGAUGAACCGUAAUGCCAUUAAUUUGGUGUUGCGGGGAAACUGGACUGUUACUUUGAAAAAAUUAGGGUGUUUAAAGCAGGCUAACGCUUGAAUACAUUAGCAUGGAAUAAUGAAAUAGGACGUUCGAUCCUAUUUUGUUGGUUUCUGAAUCACCGUAAUGAUUAAUAGGGAUAGUUGGGGGCAUUAGUAUUCAAUUGUCAGAGGUGAAAUUCUUGGAUUUAUUGAAGACUAACUACUGCGAAAGCAUUUGCCAAGGAUGUUUUCAUUAAUCAAGAACGAAAGUUAGGGGAUCGAAGACGAUCAGAUACCGUCGUAGUCUUAACCAUAAACUAUGCCGACUAGGGAUCGGACGAUGUUAACUUUUCUUGACUCGUUCGGCGCCUUACGGGAAA